UCCCAAGUGGUCUAUUGGUUAGGAUGCCGCCCUCUCACUGCGGCGGCCGGGAUUCGAUUCCCCGUUUUGGAA
Molecule: transfer RNA, 72 nt
Filed under: Dreissena polymorpha
Lineage: Eukaryota; Metazoa; Mollusca; Bivalvia; Myida; Dreissenidae
Rfam family: tRNA
About the family: Transfer RNA (tRNA) molecules are approximately 80 nucleotides in length. Their secondary structure includes four short double-helical elements and three loops (D, anti-codon, and T loops).
Source: Rfam by way of RNAcentral